Non-coding RNA from Xyrichtys novacula (pearly razorfish), 571 nucleotides. NCBI's taxonomy places the organism in Eukaryota, Metazoa, Chordata, Actinopteri, Labriformes, Labridae. The record is from the annotation of a GenBank genome assembly.
CUCUGAUCUGCUUCUUCUCACCCUCGGCAGACUGUCAGACGAGUGAUAAUGAGAUAACACACUCGGCGGCUCCGUUAUCGUACUGUAAAACACAUCUUGUAACACUCAGAGAUCCGACAAAUGCGCUCACUUUCACGCUUUAAUCGCUGAAAGGAAGAAUCUGCUUUUAUUCCUCCGCAGUUUUUCUGCUUUUAUCACGUCUCCUUUCAAAUUAAUCGAUCACAGCGAACGCUUAAGUGGAAAGAGUUUUAUUCGGUUUGAAAAUGUCGAGAUUUUUCAAGAUUAAAGCUCAGAUUGUGGCGCUGUUUCUGUCAGCUAAUAAAAGCUGUAGUAAACAGCGGAGGUCGUCAGUGUUUGAGGUGAUUUCUGCGAACUGUUUGGCAAACUAACUUCACAGAUGUCGGCCGUGUUGUUUCUGUGCUGUGGAGAGGAACCCACUGUCUCACUCAGAUCAUUAAAAACCAAAACACAGAUUCGCACCAUCGGCCCGAGCUUGUUUCACUUCUGCCGCACACCUCAGAUACCCCACAGCUGCUGGGUAAACUUAACCAAGCAGGCGCAUUUCAUCUUG